AAAUCCCUGUCCUGUUAUGUUCCGUUCUGAUACCGGUGCAUGCAGCCCCCAGUCACGUACCCCUGCUUGCUCAAUGGGUCACAACCCUCUCACGCAGACCCCCUUAGUUGUAAAGGGACAGGAAUUGUUCACUCGGGGAGCUCGGUUUUGUAAGUCUGCCGAUGCUCCUGGCAGAAUAAAGCCCUUUCCUUCCUCAACUCGGUGUCUGAGGGGUUUUGUCUGCAGCUAGUCCUGCUACAUUUCUUGGUUCCCUGACCUGGAAGCGAGGUGAUUACCGGGCGGUGGAGGCAACUGCUUAGGAGGCUUAGGCCUGCCUUGUGGAACAUCCCUGCGGGGGACUCCUGCCGGCUUUAGUGAAUCCUGAGAGUGCUUUCAGCUGGGUAAUUGCCCUGGUGGAACGCCUCGCCAGAGCAGCGCACGGUAGGCCCCCGCGGAGGAUUAACGCAGCGGCUGAACAGCGGGAAGGAAUCGGCGCUUGGAGUCCAGACAUCUGGAACACGCUCUUGAACAUCAGAUUCCAGGUUCUGCAGCCUUUGGACUCUUGGACUUAGACCAGUGGUUUGCCGGGGGAUCUCAGAUCUUCAGCCACAUACUGAAGUCUGCACUGUUGGCUUCCCUACUUUUGAGGCUUUGGAACUCUGACUGAGCAACUACUGGCUUCGUUGCUCCUCAGCUUGCAGGUGGCCUAUCGUGGGACUUCACCUUGUGAUCACGAGCAAAUGAGUGAUGCCAACAGGAAAUGACGUGGAAAGAGAUGACUUCUUUGGAGCAGCCAUGAUGGAGUUAGAAAGGAGUUGGAGGAUGAGCAGGGCCUGGGAGUCCCUCAUCGCUCAGACUGUACUGAUACAGGAGUCUCUCAGAAAGACAACAUUUUCUCCUCCUAAAGGAAGCAGGGUAAAUGUUUUUAUAUUCUAGAUUUCACAUACCUUCAAAAGACAUUUGUGCAUCUAAGAGACACACCUCUAUGUAAACACAGGAAAAUUUAAA
Molecule: long non-coding RNA, 987 nt
Filed under: Homo sapiens (human)
Lineage: Eukaryota; Metazoa; Chordata; Mammalia; Primates; Hominidae
Description: HSALNT0339680
Source: RNAcentral